AUUGAACGCUGGCGGCAUGCUUUACACAUGCAAGUCGAACGGCAGCGCGGGCUUCGCCCUGGCGGCCAGUGGCGAACGGGUGAGUAAUGCAUCGGAACCUGCCCAGUAGUGGGGGAUAACCCCGCGAAAGCCGGACUAAUACCGCAUACGACCUGAGGGUGAAAGUGGGGGACCGACAGGCCUCGCGCUAUUGGAGCGGCCGAUGUCGGAUUAGCUAGUUGGUGGGGUAAAGGCUUACCAAGGCGACGAUCCGUAGCUGGUCUGAGAGGACGACCAGCCACACUGGAACUGAGACACGGCCCAGACUCCUACGGGAGGCAGCAGUGGGGAAUUUUGGACAAUGGGGGCAACCCUGAUCCAGCCAUGCCGCGUGCGGGAAGAAGGCCUUCGGGUUGUAAACCGCUUUUGUUCGGGAAGAAAUCCUCUGGGCUAAUACCCCGGGGGGAUGACGGUACCGGAAGAAUAAGCACCGGCUAACUACGUG
RNAcentral lists this ribosomal RNA (484 nucleotides) under uncultured bacterium. RNAcentral's name for it is "partial 16S ribosomal RNA". It matches the Rfam family "Bacterial small subunit ribosomal RNA", at positions 29 to 507 of the family's 1533-position model. The record is from RNAcentral.